This 484-nucleotide ribosomal RNA is filed under the name uncultured bacterium. RNAcentral's name for it is "partial 16S ribosomal RNA". It matches the Rfam family "Bacterial small subunit ribosomal RNA", at positions 30 to 507 of the family's 1533-position model. The record is from RNAcentral.
AUUGAACGCUGGCGGUAGGCCUAACACAUGCAAGUCGAGCGGCUGAAGGGUGCUUGCUCGCUCAUACGGCGGCCGACUGGCGAAUAAUUCCUAGGAACAUCGCUAUUUGUGGUUGCUAACGUGCGAACAUGGGCGAUCAUACCCUAUUACCGCUGACGACGUACGGGUGGAAUCAUCGGAUCUUCCGACAUUACGUGAUCCAAGGUCGGAUUAGCUAGUUGGCGGGGUAAAGGCGUACCAAGGCGACGAUCCGUAACUGGUCUGAGAGGAUGAUCAGUCACACUGGAACUGAGACACGGUCCAGACUCCUACGGGAGGCAGCAGUGGGGAAUAUUGGACAAUGGGCGAAAGCCUGAUCCAGCCAUGCCGCGUGUGUGAAGAAGGUCUUCGGAUUGUAAAGCACUUUUGGUGGGGAGGAAAAGCAGUAAGUUAAUACCUUGCUGUUUUGACGUUACCAACAGAAUAAGCACCGGCUAACUUCGUG